UGUGGCUCAGGGGUAGAGCGCCUGCCUAGCACGCAUGAGGCCCUGGGUUCAAUCCUCAGCA
RNAcentral lists this transfer RNA (61 nucleotides) under Ictidomys tridecemlineatus (thirteen-lined ground squirrel). RNAcentral describes it as "Spermophilus tridecemlineatus (thirteen-lined ground squirrel) tRNA". It matches the Rfam family "tRNA", at positions 6 to 65 of the family's 71-position model. From Rfam's summary of the family: Transfer RNA (tRNA) molecules are approximately 80 nucleotides in length. Their secondary structure includes four short double-helical elements and three loops (D, anti-codon, and T loops). The record is from Rfam by way of RNAcentral. Lineage: Eukaryota; Metazoa; Chordata; Mammalia; Rodentia; Sciuridae.